This 405-nucleotide ribosomal RNA is filed under the name uncultured microorganism. RNAcentral describes it as "bacterial SSU rRNA". It matches the Rfam family "Archaeal small subunit ribosomal RNA", at positions 330 to 735 of the family's 1478-position model. The record is from RNAcentral.
GUGCACCAGUCGAGAAACUUCACAAUGUGCGAAAGCACGAUGAGGGAAUCCCAAGUGCUUGCUCGUAAGAGUAAGCUGUUUCUCUGUCUAAAACGCAGAGAGAGUAAGGGCUGGGUAAGACGGGUGCCAGCCGCCGCGGUAAUACCUGCAGCUCGAGUGGUGGCCGCUAUUAUUGGGCCUAAAACGUCCGUAGCCGGUUUAUUAAAUGCCUGGGUAAAUCGGACCGCUUAACGGUUCGAAUUCCGGGUAGACUGAUAAACUUGAGACCGGGAGAAGCUAGAGGUACUCCUGGGGUAGAGGUGAAAAUUCUGUAAUCCUAGGGGGACCACCAGUGGCGAAGGCGUCUAGCUAGAACGGGUCUGACGGUGAGGGACGAAGCCCUGGGGCGCAAACGGGGAUUAGAUA